RNAcentral lists this transfer RNA (76 nucleotides) under Natranaerobius trueperi. RNAcentral describes it as "tRNA-Met". It matches the Rfam family "tRNA". Rfam says of the family: Transfer RNA (tRNA) molecules are approximately 80 nucleotides in length. Their secondary structure includes four short double-helical elements and three loops (D, anti-codon, and T loops). Further hydrogen bonds mediate the characteristic L-shaped molecular structure. tRNAs have two regions of fundamental functional importance: the anti-codon, which is responsible for specific mRNA codon recognition, and the 3' end, to which the tRNAs corresponding amino acid is attached (by aminoacyl-tRNA synthetases). tRNAs cope with the degeneracy of the genetic code in two manners: having more than one tRNA (with a specific anti-codon) for a particular amino acid; and 'wobble' base-pairing, i.e. permitting non-standard base-pairing at the 3rd anti-codon position. RNAcentral also lists the same sequence under 1 other name. Lineage: Bacteria; Bacillati; Bacillota; Clostridia; Natranaerobiales; Natranaerobiaceae. The record is from RNAcentral.
GGGCCCAUAGCUCAGUUGGAAGAGCAACCGGCUCAUAACCGGUUGGUCCCUGGUUCGAGCCCGGGUGGGCCCACCA